Molecule: ribosomal RNA, 512 nt
Filed under: Panagrolaimus trilabiatus
Lineage: Eukaryota; Metazoa; Nematoda; Chromadorea; Rhabditida; Panagrolaimidae
Description: SSU rRNA
Rfam family: Eukaryotic small subunit ribosomal RNA
Source: RNAcentral
CGCGAAUGGCUCAUUACAACAGCUAAAAUUUACUUGAUUUUGACUUUUAUCCUACAUGGAUAACUGUGGUAAUUCUGGAGCUAAUACAUGCAUAAAAGAUAAAACAUUUUACUGUUUUAUUGCGUAUAUUAGUAUUAAAACCAAGCAUUCUUCGGAAUGUUUUGUGUUGAAACUGAAUAUAUCAUGCUGAUCGUAUGGUCUUGUACCGACGACAUGUCAUUCAAGUGUCUGAUCUAUCAACUUUCUAUAUAAGUAUAUAGUACUUAUAUGGUUUUGACGGAUAACGGGGUAUUAGGGUACGACUCCGGAGAAAAUGCCUGAGAAACGGCGUUUACAUCCAAGGAAGGCAGCGGGCGCGAAAAUUACCCACUCUCAGUACGAGGAGGUAGUGACGAGAAAUGACAAGAUCUAUUCCUUCGGGGAUGGAUCAUUGGAAUGGUUUGAUUUUAAAAUCAUUAAAGAGUAUCAAUGAGAGGGCAGGUCUGGUGCCAGCAGCCGCGGUAAUUCCAGCU